GACGAACGCUUUCCUCGUGCCUAAUACAUGCAAGUUGAGCGCUGAAGGUUGGUACUUGUACCAACUGGAUGAGCAGCGCACGGGUGAGUAACGCGUGGGGAAUCUGCCUUUGAGCGGGGGACAACAUUUGGAAACGAAUGCUAAUACCGCAUAAAAACUUUAAACACAAGUUUUAAGUUUGAAAGAUGCAAUUGCCUCACUCAAAGAUGAUCCCGCGUUGUAUUAGCUAGUUGGUGAGGUAAAGGCUCACCAAGGCGAUGAUACAUAGCCGACCUGAGAGGGUGAUCGGCCACAUUGGGACUGAGACACGGCCCAAACUCCUACGGGAGGCAGCAGUAGGGAAUCUUCGGCAAUGGACGAAAGUCUGACCGAGCAACGCCGCGUGAGUGAAGAAGGUUUUCGGAUCGUAAAACUCUGUUGGUAGAGAAGAACGUUGGUGAGAGUGGAAAGCUCAUCAAGUGACGGUAACUACCCAGAAAGGGACGGCUAACUACGUG
Molecule: ribosomal RNA, 497 nt
Filed under: uncultured bacterium
Lineage: Bacteria
Description: partial 16S ribosomal RNA
Rfam family: Bacterial small subunit ribosomal RNA
Source: RNAcentral